GUGGGGAAUAUUGGACAAUGGGCGAAAGCCUGAUCCAGCAAUGCCGCGUGAGUGAUGAAGGCCUUAGGGUUGUAAAGCUCUUUUACCAGGGAUGAUAAUGACAGUACCUGGAGAAUAAGCUCCGGCUAACUCCGUGCCAGCAGCCGCGGUAAUACGGAGGGAGCUAGCGUUGUUCGGAAUUACUGGGCGUAAAGCGCACGUAGGCGGUUACUCAAGUCAGAGGUGAAAGCCCGGGGCUCAACCCCGGAACUGCCUUUGAAACUAGGUAACUAGAAUCUUGGAGAGGUCAGUGGAAUUCCGAGUGUAGAGGUGAAAUGCGUAGAUAUUCGGAGGAACACCAGUGGCGAAGGCGGCUCACUGGCUCGAUACUGACGCUGAGGUGCGAAAGCGUGGGGAGCAAACAGGAUUAGAUACCCCUGUAGUCC
This 425-nucleotide ribosomal RNA is filed under the name uncultured bacterium. RNAcentral's name for it is "partial 16S ribosomal RNA". It matches the Rfam family "Bacterial small subunit ribosomal RNA", at positions 354 to 796 of the family's 1533-position model. The record is from RNAcentral.